GAUGAACGCUGGCGGCGUGCCUAAUACAUGCAAGUCGAGCGAACAGACGAGGAGCUUGCUCCUCUGACGUUAGCGGCGGAGGGGUGAGUAACACGUGGAUAACCUACCUAUAAGACUGGGAUAACUUCGGGAAACCGGAGCUAAUACCGGAUAAUAUAUUGAACCGCAUGGUUCAAUAGUGAAAGACGGUUUUGCUGUCAUUUAUAGAUGGAUCCGCGCCGCAUUAGCUAGUUGGUAAGGUAACGGCUUACCAAGGCAACAAUACCUAGCCGACCUGAGAGGGUGAUCGACCACACUGGAACUGAGACACAGUCCAGACUCCUACGGGAUGCAUCAGUAUAGCAUCUUCCUCAAUGGUCAAAAGCUUAACGCACCAACGCCUCGUGAGUGAUGAAGGUCUUCUGAUCGUAAAACUCUGUUAUUAGGGAACAACCAAUCUGUAAGUAACUAUUCACGUCUUAACGGUACCUAAUCAGAAAGCCACGGCUAACUACGUG
RNAcentral lists this ribosomal RNA (497 nucleotides) under uncultured bacterium. RNAcentral describes it as "partial 16S ribosomal RNA". It matches the Rfam family "Bacterial small subunit ribosomal RNA", at positions 28 to 507 of the family's 1533-position model. The record is from RNAcentral.